Molecule: non-coding RNA, 1739 nt
Organism: Macaca mulatta (Rhesus monkey)
Lineage: Eukaryota; Metazoa; Chordata; Mammalia; Primates; Cercopithecidae
Source: RefSeq, a predicted model, not a curated record
GUGUCAGGAGCUGCACUCUGCUUGGUUCUUCGUCCGCGUUGUGGAAGGUGUUUUCUGUAGUUGUUUGCAGUAAAUCUUGCUGUUGCUCAUUCUCUGGGUCUGCAGUGUUUCUAUUCGCUUUAAUGCUUACUGUGAAGGCCUGCCUUUUCACUCGUGAAGUCAGCUACAGGAGAAACCCACCGGGAAGAGGGAACGACUUCAGUUGCGCUGCCCUUAAGAGCUGUAACACUCAGUGGGAAGAUCUGCAGUUUCACUCCUGAGGCCAGCAAGACCAGGAACCCACCGAGAGGAAGGAACAACUCCAGACCAUGCUGCCUUUUGAGAGAUGUAACAGUCACCGGGAUGGUCUGCAGCUUCACUCCUGAAAUCAGCGAGACUACGAACCCACCAGUAAGAAGAAACUCCGGGCACGUCUGAACUUCAGAAGUCUGUUCGUGACAUUUGGUAUUCCUAACAUGCCCACUUGGAGGAAACUGCCAGCUUAGGCCAACCGGGGCGAAAUGCAUGCACUUCUAAAGUCAUAAGCCCAAUAAUAAUUUUCAGAAGGAGGCACUCAUUCACUUCAGCUUAUAAACUUGCAAAUCUGUAGAUUCAUUAGUCUAUCACUUACAUGGAAAGAUAAAAUUUAUAUUUAAUUUUGAGACUUGAUGUUCUUGAAAAUUUUCAAGUCAACAUUUGUUUUUGUUGUGCACCUCUGUCAAAAGAUAAAUACAUAGUACGUAAUCAUUAUUUAUUUGUUAAUAAUAUACUCUGCAUGGUCUCACAUUUCAUAGUUCAUGCAUUGUUUAUUCAUUAAUAUAACCUAUCUUAAUAUGCACCACAUAACUGAGAGCCCUUGUCAACUCCUCAGAAGCAAUUAACUCCUAAGGUAACUAUGACAACGAAUCACUUAAUGCUUAAAGUGUAACAAAAAGACUGUGUGAUUUGGAUGUUAAUUCAAAUAUUUCCCAUACAGCCCCAUACAGCCACUUUGGAAGGGAAGUGCUUUCUCACAAAACUAAGUAUACUGUCACCAUAAGAUCCAGUAAUUGUGUCUUGGCAUUUAACCAAAGGCAUGGGAAACUGAGGUCAACACAAAAAUCUGCACAUUAAUGUUUAUAGGAGUUUUAUCCAUAACUGCCCAAAGGGGGAAGCAACUUCAGUAAGUGAAUGGAUAAACAAACUCUGGUACACUCAUACAAUAGAAUAUUAAGUGAUAAAAAGGUACGUGCUAUUUAACUAUGAGAAGACAUGGAAAAAAAACCAAAACAAAACCUUAAAUGCCCAUCACUAAGAGAAAGAAGCCAGUCUGAAAAGACUACAUACUGUGUAAGCCGAACUAUAUGACAUUCUUUAAAAGGCAGAACUAUGGAGACAACGAAAAGUACAGUUGUUGCCAGGGAUUUGCAGGGAGGAGGAGGGAUUAAUAGGUGGACCACAGGGGAUUUUCAGGGCAGUGAAACCAUUCUGUAAAAUGUCAUGGUGGAUAUAUUACAUUACACAUUUUUAAAACCCAUAGAAUGUACAACACAAACAGUGCACCUUAAUGAAACUGUUAAUUUUAGUUAAUAAGAAUAAUGUAUCAAUAUUGGCUCAUUAAUUGUAACAAAUAUACCAUAGGAAUGCAAGAUAUCUUACUAAUAGGCAUGAUGAGCUAGGGAGGGUUUAAGGAACUCUUUGUAUUGUCUGCUCGAUUUUCUUGUAAAUGUAAAACUGCCUCCAAAAAUAAUGUCUUUUUAUUAAAGAAAAACGUGCUGCUA